Molecule: ribosomal RNA, 469 nt
Filed under: uncultured bacterium
Lineage: Bacteria
Description: partial 16S ribosomal RNA
Rfam family: Bacterial small subunit ribosomal RNA
Source: RNAcentral
GACGAACGCUGGCGGCGUGCUAAAACAUUCAAAGUGAACGGGGAACGAGGGAAGUUGCUCCCUUCGGGUCCGGGGCGAACCGGGGAGGAACACGUUAGCAAUCUGCCCCCAACUCCGGGGUAAACGUUGGAAACGACGUUUAAUUCCGGAUACGACGCGGGAGGGGAUCCCCUCCGCGGGGAAAGAACUUCGGUUCGGGAGGAGCUCGCGGCCUAUCAGCUUGUUGGUGAGGUAACGGCUCACCAAGGCGACGACGGGUAGCCGGCCUGAGAGGGUGACCGGCCACACUGGGACUGAGACACGGCCCAGACUCCUACGGGAGGCAGCAGUGGGGAAUAUUGCACAAUGGGCGCAAGCCUGAUGCAGCAACGCCGCGUGAGGGACGACGGCCUUCGGGUUGUAAACCUCUUUUAGCAGGGAAGAAGCGAAAGUGACGGUACCUGCAGAAAAAGCACCGGCUAACUACGUG